Molecule: long non-coding RNA, 315 nt
Filed under: Setaria viridis
Lineage: Eukaryota; Viridiplantae; Streptophyta; Magnoliopsida; Poales; Poaceae
Description: long non-coding RNA (SVIR_LNC006896)
Source: RNAcentral
GGAAACAGAGGAAUAUUUGAAUAAGCACUUCAGAGGUUUUCUUUUCAGCCAAGGAGGUAAGACCGACAAACCCCACUAGUUGUCCUUACACCCGAAUCUCGGGACGAGAUUCUUUCUAAGGGGGGUAGGCUGUAACGACCUAGAUUAAAUCAGCCCGACCUAGCGCCUUAAAGAGGGUUAUUCCUUGGAAAGUUGAGCAGAACAUCAAGAAAUCCCUUUAUAGAAGUUGGAGAACGAAGUUCCUACCACAACUUUGUUAAUUGGACCUUGGUCCAAUUCACCUCCAAAGCUUCCCAAAUCUGCAGCUCAGAUCAG